AUUCAAUAUUCCCUUUAUUGUCUUCAAAUGCCAGUUGUUUCUGCAGUGAUCGGGCAAUAAAACAACAACAAAAACACACAGAAUUAAUUAUAAUAAUAACAUAUUAUCCUUGAAACAGUUGUCUUUAAAAACACUAGGGCUCCAGUGGCUCAUGAUCCAGGUGCUGCAAUACAGCUUCCGGCCACGCGGGGCAGUAACACACGAAAUGGCGGUUCUUGCUACAUCUAGUUAGCGAAGAAAACAUAUUUGACUCGACGAAGUAAAUUAUUUGCACUCUUUUGAAGUAAGCCAUUAGAUAAUAACAUAUCACGUUAAUGGUUGUUGAUAACUAUUAUGGAGAAGUAUAUUAGUGUUUCGGUGGAUAAUUAGAUGUUAUUGGCGUGUAGCUAGCAACCACUUUGGCAUUAGCAUAAUACGGGCGAGCUAGCCAGGGUUUGUUUGGGUAAAUAAUAUACGCGGCCUCUCAUUUUAGCUUUGUGUCAGAAAAAAAAGUAAAAGAGUAAAAGUGAUCAGCAACAGGUGCCGUCAUCAGGUAGCCGCAGUCAGACAUCAGCAGCACAGAUAGCGCUAGUGUUGGUGCAGACAGAUUAGUCCCAGCGCCAGCAUCAGGCCUGUCAUCAGCCACGGAAGCAGCGUUCGCUCGGCAACGCUUGUAAACGACGGCUCUUGUGGGACCGAUAAAGCAAAGAUGAGAGGGAAGCCGGCGGGCCGGCAGUCAGAACAAGAAGAAUACCACAGCAGCAGCAAGUUCACAAAGAUGGCGGGAGGGGGGGCUUCAAUAAACCACUCACCUGCUCCGGAGAGGAAGGAUUAUUCACUCAUGUCCCAAAUUGACUGGAGCUUUAAUGGAGCAUUUCAACGCAGCAAUUUCUGAAGUUUGAAAAGCUCCGAGGAAAAGGCUGACGGACGGACGUACAGGACACUGACCUUGGAGGAAACAUCCAUUACAGUAGCAGUGAUCCCCAAACACACUGACUGGGAGAAUGGCUUAUUGUAUUGUCAUCAGCAAGUUUGCAGCUCUGACUGUAGAGCGCUGUCUUGGGCCCAAAACUGAAGGUGUGUUGUCAUUGCUGCUGGAGUCCGGCCCAGUGUAAUCGAUGGGAUUUGGGGAUCGGAUAGUUCAGUUUACGCACACAAGGUCAAGAAAGACUCCUCUAAAGACACCAUCAGUCCACCUCCCACCUAUCCUCUCCCCAGUCUGCAACUCGGUGCCGUGCAAGUGAAGGUUCAUUUGUCUGAGUGUGCAUAUGUAUUUGUGUGCAAAGUGUGCAUGCAGCGACUGAGCAUAAACCCAGUGAGAUCAAAAUGGAGGACAAGUGGAGGACCAAAGAUAAAGUAAGUACUGAAGAUGGGGGGUAAAGGAGACAGAGGGGAGGGGAGGAUGAUGAAGAAUGUGCUACAGGGAAUAGAAUUAAAGAGUGUCAGACUAACCACUUGACAAAGGAAGCGGAGGGAGGGAUGGAGGAACACAGCUGCUGCAAGGUGUGGACAGCGCAGCGUCAUGACUCUCUGGGUGUAAUUAUGACAGAAUGGUCUCUGAUUGAUCGGCUGAGCCUGCAGGACCUCCAAAGCACCUCUGUGUUUUUGCAAUGCUUAGUUCCCGUCCCCCGGACCCCAGUUCCCAGCAGCAUGAUUCAUGAUCACCGGAGCUCUCGUCUGACCCGGCAGGCCCACAGCCCCAGCCAUCAGGUUGAAAGGAGGCCGAGACUGCGGCAAUUACAGGCCUAACCUGGAACAUCCAAAGCCUAUUGACCACUCUGUCAGCCCUGUGGAACAAAGCCUGACUUGACAUGCUGUUAGCGGUGGUGCGGGGGCCGCCGAGUGCAGGGGAAGUGGUGGCUGAUAGGCGUGACGGAGAAGAGAAAGAGAGGGGGAGACAGGGGACGCCUGUUUGGGAUUUACAGCCGCGGCGUGCUCACCUAGCAGCUGACCGUACUGCUUCACAGGUCAGCCGCUCUAACCGGACUCCAUUAAUACACCAGUCUACCUCGUGGCAGACUUUAUGCUCCAGUGCGUCCACCGCCUUAGGGACAACUUCACUGGCACUUUACUCCAGAACAGGCCAGGAAAGGGAGGAGGCCUGGGGUCCGGGAACAAAGGAGCCCUCUGAAAACAGACGAAGGGUGAGAAAGGGAAAAGUCUUACAGAAAGUUCCAAGAGCUGUUUUUCCUACUGUAGAUGUGUAAACUCGACUGUAUGGCGCAGCGUGAGGAGGCAAUUUCACAGCUUCAGCUUGUAAUGAAAGGAACUUUUCCUGUUACAAAGGUCAGGUUUUUUUCUUUUUUGGAAUUCAAGUUCAUCCGAUAGACACAGUUCUACUUUCUGGCCGUAUAGCGCGAAGCACGCUUCGGGGACCGGCCCCAACAUCAUGGUAUAAAUGUGUUUUACGGCCAGGCAGCUGCUGGGGGCAGCCUGCUUUUAAUGCGUUCUGGCCGGGUACAACAUGGCCACCUGCUUGGCGUAAAAAGCCUCGCCGCGAUGCUGGGCUUUAUGGGCACGUUCCGCAGCCAAACAAAGAUAUACAAGGACAUGCGUGAGGAGAGCUGCCCGCCGCAUAUGGCCCCUGCGCUCCAGCAGGUCCUCGUCCUCCCGCUUCCGGAGAGGCGGCGUGUCAGAGGGACCCCGCCCGGUAUGGGGCUCACGCCUGAGCAGCUCUCACCUCCGCGCGGCCGCGUUUUCCCGCAGGCGUGACUGUUUGUCAGAGUCUGACAACUUUGUUGAGCUACGCUGCAGAAGAGCGGCUGAUUACGCCGAGAGCCGGGAUGUCUGCGCCGCCGCUGGGGGGGGAUCCGCAGAUGAUCACCCCCCAGGACCCGGAGCGUCUCUGGGGCUGCGGAGGGAGGCGAGUGGCACUCAGCCACCUGCUCGUCUGAUAAACAAGUUCAUGUAUGAGGAAGAGAGGUUUCAGCGUGUCAUCCCUCCCUCCCUCGCCCACUAUCUCACUUUCACAACAGCGAGCGGCGGAGCAAAAUUACUCCCCGCCAGUGAAUAAUAAGGAAGUUUAUGAAACGUGACGAAUGCGACGGCGCUCUACAUGAAAUACCAAUGAGGGAGGCGCCCCAGCGUGGCGAAUGCUACAUCCUAAUAUCAACAGUCACCUUGUGCUACUCCCUCUCCUCCCAGAAGGACACAUCACGGGAAGGCGUGUGAUCGCGUGGCGUCGAGCGCUGACACUGACGCCCCCGGGGGCGCGGGCGGGUGAACGGACACGCGCCGGCGGCGUGGCACCGCUGCAGGCUGGCACCGGGAGGGGGGGGGAGGGGGGGUUGUCAGUGCCACCUGUCCCCGUGACCGCGGCUGCGUCUUCGGUCGCCGCAGGGGUCAGAGGAGGCGCUGAGCAGUCAGACGCCCUCGAUGCUCAGCGACUGACUCAACCUAAACGUUGGGAAGCUGUGAGGAUGAAACACGUAAUGGGCUGUCAAACAACGGAAGUAGGCCGCAAGUGUGAUGAUGAUCCGUUAUUUGAGCUAUUUAGCAAAUAAAAUGGCAAAUAUUUGCCGGCUCCAGUUGUUAAAUCUGAGCAUUUUUGUAAAUCUGUGUAAACGCCAUUGAAAAGAAAGCAAGAGAGAAAAAGAGGAGUGGUUUACUAUAAUCAUACAUAAUCAUAAUUGACCUUUGACCCUCGUGCACCACAAAAUAAGGUGAUGUAAAAAGGACAGAAUAUCAUCCGCAUUAAACAUGAUCGUUAGCAGCGGUCCUGCAUCAAACAGUGAAGGAAUCAACUUAAGCUGCUUCUCCGUCGAGUUCCCUGAGCUCCGCGUUAUAAAUCACGCUGUAGGUUUACGCCCAGGUCACAGCUGCUCCUCUUCAUCCACUCUCUCCUCUCACUCCUGCACAGUGGAGAAACAAACGUCUCUCGUGUGUGAAAUCAAGCGUUUCUGUCUCGCUUUUAUCUCUGACGGACGUCCCACUCGGUGGGUUAUCACUCGCUGCCGGCCGCGACAAAGAUGAAAAGUCUACUUUGUUUGCUCGCUUGCAAAAAAUGAGUUAUCUUGCAAGAACAGCGUUAUUAAUCAUUCUGGGUUAAGACACAGCACUGGCAACUAACUGUGAGGAAGCCUGAAUGGGAUGCCCUCUAUUUUUCAUGAGUGUUUCUCUGGGUGUUUGUGUGCAUGCAUGUAGGUUUAUUCUUGGGGUCAACCCUUUUAUCCUCGUCUUUCAGGAGAGAGUGCGCGAGUGUUUGUGUGCUGCUGCAAUCUCCGCAGGGACUAUUUCAGUUGAGGGCAAAGAACACAGGGAAACUUUGAAAGAGCUUUUAUGUACUUUUGAGUGAAAUGAUCCUAAGAAAGGCUUUUUAUAAAAAGACUUUUAUUCAGACUUCUACAUCCAGAAGGGCACUUACUCAAUUACCAAGCUCCCUUCCUCCUUUUCUGCAUCCAUCAAUCCAUCCUCUAUUCUUAGGACUGCGUGUGUGUGUGUGUGUGUGUGUGUGUGUGUGUGUGUGUGUGUGUGUGUGCGUGUGUGCGUGCGUGCGUGCGUGCGUGCGUGCGUGCGUGCGUGCGUGCGUGUGUGUGUGUGUGGAGGCAUCGCUGUGGGCUUGGAGCAUGAACUCAGUAGUAGAGCGAUGUGGGGCAUGUCAGUGAGAGUAUGGUUAGUCAGCCAUUUGGAUCCACUUUUUAGCCCUAUUGUGAGACUUCAAAGCAUCAUGCAAGCAGUAAAAAGUCAACAUGUUUUAUUGCUAAUUGUUCUUCUGUUGACUGAUUUGAAUUUUAGCUUUUACCUUGAUUUCUUGGCUAAAAUGGAGCACAUCCAGAUCAGGCUGAUAUAUGACAUGCUCGCUAACUCAAUGAGAGGUAAACUCAUUCUGUCGCCCUCGCUUUGGCAUCUCUGCUCUCUUUUAACUGCAGCCUUGUCACUCAGUAGCCUGAAAGGCAAGACCUCACACAGGUUUGACAGAUAAAAGUCUCCUCACUUCAUUCGUUUGACAUUUUACCUCCCAGAAAAGUUUCAGCCUCUCUCCUCCCUUGCUUUUUUGCCUUCCGUCACACACACGCACACAC
Betta splendens (Siamese fighting fish) is the source of this 5000-nucleotide long non-coding RNA. RefSeq lists it as uncharacterized. Lineage: Eukaryota; Metazoa; Chordata; Actinopteri; Anabantiformes; Osphronemidae. The transcript has 3 exons. The record is from RefSeq and is a predicted model, not a curated record.